RNAcentral lists this ribosomal RNA (496 nucleotides) under uncultured bacterium. Its description in RNAcentral is "partial 16S ribosomal RNA". It matches the Rfam family "Bacterial small subunit ribosomal RNA", at positions 28 to 506 of the family's 1533-position model. The record is from RNAcentral.
GAUGAACGCUGGCGGCGUGCCUAAUACAUGCAAGUCGAGCGAACGGACGAGAAGCUUGCUUCUCUGAUGUUAGCGGCGGACGGGUGAGUAACACGUGGAUAACCUACCUAUAAGACUGGGAUAACUUCGGGAAACCGGAGCUAAUACCGGAUAAUAUUUUGAACCGCAUGGUUCAAAAGUAAAAGACGGUCUUGCUGUCACUUAUAGAUGGAUCCGCGUUGCAUUAGCUAGUUGGUAAGGUAACGGCUUACCAAGGCAACGAUGCAUAGCCGACCUGAGAGGGUGAUCGGCCACACUGGAACUGAGACACGGUCCAGACUCCUACGGGAGGCAGCAGUAGGGAAUCUUCCGCAAUGGGCGAAAGCCUGACGGAGCAACGCCGCGUGAGUGAUGAAGGUCUUCGGAUCGUAAAACUCUGUUAUUAGGGAAGAACAUAUGUGUAAGUAACUGUGCACAUCUUGACGGUACCUAAUCAGAAAGCCACGGCUAACUACGU